CACUUCAUAAAGUUUACUUUAAGAAGUGACUUAGUGGCGGACGGGUGAGUAACGCGUGGGUAACCUGCCUUACACAGGGGGAUAACAGUUAGAAAUGACUGCUAAUACCGCAUAAGCCCACGGAUCCGCAUGAAUCUGCGGGAAAAGGAUUUAUUCGCUUCAGGAUGGACUCGCGUCCAAUUAGCUAGUUGGUGAGGUAACGGCCCACCAAGUCUACGAUCAGUAGCCGGACUGAGAGGUUGAACGGCCACAUUGGGACUGAGAUACGGCCCAGACUCC
Molecule: ribosomal RNA, 279 nt
Filed under: uncultured Eubacteriales bacterium
Lineage: Bacteria; Bacillati; Bacillota; Clostridia; Eubacteriales
Description: uncultured Clostridiales bacterium partial 16S ribosomal RNA
Rfam family: Bacterial small subunit ribosomal RNA
Source: RNAcentral